AGCGACGCCGCGUGAGGGAUGACGGCCUUCGGGUUGUAAACCUCUUUCAGCAGGGAAGUAGCGAAAGUGACGGUACCUGCAGAAGAAGCGCCGGCUAACUACGUGCCAGCAGCCGCGGUAAUACGUAGGGCGCGAGCGUUGUCCGGAAUUAUUGGGCGUAAAGAGCUCGUAGGCGGCUUGUCACGUCGGUUGUGAAAGCCCGGGGCUUAACCCCGGGUCUGCAGUCGAUACGGGCAGGCUAGAGUUCGGUAGGGGAGAUCGGAAUUCCUGGUGUAGCGGUGAAAUGCGCAGAUAAUCAGGAGGAACACCGGUGGCGAAGGCGGAUCUCUGGGCCGAUACUGACGCUGAGGAGC
This 353-nucleotide non-coding RNA is filed under the name Streptomyces afghaniensis 772. RNAcentral's name for it is "Bacterial small subunit ribosomal RNA". It matches the Rfam family "Bacterial small subunit ribosomal RNA", at positions 390 to 754 of the family's 1533-position model. Lineage: Bacteria; Bacillati; Actinomycetota; Actinomycetes; Kitasatosporales; Streptomycetaceae. The record is from Rfam by way of RNAcentral.